Molecule: long non-coding RNA, 254 nt
Filed under: Elaeis guineensis (African oil palm)
Lineage: Eukaryota; Viridiplantae; Streptophyta; Magnoliopsida; Arecales; Arecaceae
Description: long non-coding RNA (EGUI_LNC068414)
Source: RNAcentral
CUAUCGUAUCGACCCAUCUUUUUCGUCCGUGGCCGCAGAGUCGUCUGGGGCCAUUCGGGUUUGGUGCCCCCAUCAGGGCUCGAGCUCGAAGGUCUGAGCUUCUGUCACCCUGAGGAAGUUGUCUUACCUUGGGCUUGUGUUGAAAGCUUCCUUGAAAGCUGAGGUUCUUGAUGAGAGCCCCAAUCCUUGUCGAGACAGGGUUCUCUGCAUCUUGGACGCUGUUUGUUUUUCAUUCGUCGCUGACGUGAUCCAUC